GAUGAAGAACGUAGUGAAAUGCGAUACGUAAUGUGAAUUGCAGAAUUCAGUGAAUCAUCGAGUCUUUGAACGCACAUUGCGCCCCCUGGUAUUCCGGGGGGCAUGCCUGUCCGAGCGUCAUUGCUGCCCUCAAGCACGGCUUGUGUGUUGGGCCUCCGUCCUCCUGCCGGGGGACGGGCCCGAAAGGCAGCGGCGGCACCGCGUCCGGUCCUCGAGCGUAUGGGGCUUCGUCACCCGCUCUUGUAGGCCCGGCCGGCGCUUGCCGACACAUCAAUCUUUUUUCCAGGUUGACCUCGGAUCAGGUAGGGAUACCCGCUGAACUUAAGCAUAUCAAUAAGCGGAGGA
RNAcentral lists this unclassified non-coding RNA (345 nucleotides) under soil metagenome. Its description in RNAcentral is "partial contains 5.8S ribosomal RNA, internal transcribed spacer 2, and large subunit ribosomal RNA". The stretch from base 1 to 120 matches the Rfam family "5.8S ribosomal RNA", at positions 35 to 154 of the family's 154-position model. The record is from RNAcentral.